Molecule: non-coding RNA, 907 nt
Organism: Pelobates cultripes (western spadefoot toad)
Lineage: Eukaryota; Metazoa; Chordata; Amphibia; Anura; Pelobatidae
Source: the annotation of a GenBank genome assembly
UUUUUACAUUCAUUUUUAUUAAUUGCAAUCUGAGGGAACUGCCCGACAACCCAAGCUGAAAGUCCAGAGAGUUUGGCUCACACGCCCUAUAUUUAACCCUGUAACUUUCCAGGCUACCAUAAAACCUAUACAUGGGGGUACUGUUUUACUCUGGAGACUUCCCUGAACACAAAUAUUAGUCUUCAGUAAAACAUCACAACAAUGAUAUAUCAUCAGUAAAAAUGCAGUUUUUUGCAUUUUUCACACACAAACUGUACUUUCACUGACAAUAUUGUUGUGAAAUGUUUUACUAUUUUUAAACACAAUAUUUGUGUUUAGCGAUAUCUCCCGAGUAGAAUAGUACCCCACAUGUACAGGUUUUAUGGAGUUUUUUUUUUAUUGAGUUUGAAAUUUGACAGAUUGGUCAUGUUGCCUUUGAGACCGUAUGGUAGCCCCGGAAUGAGAAUUACCCCCAUGAUGGCAUACCAUUUGCAAAAGUCGACAACCCAAGCUAUUACAAAUGGGGUAUGUUCAGUCUUAUUUUAGUAGCCACUUAGUCACAAACACUGGCCAAAAUUAGCGUUCAAUUUAGUUAUUUGCAUUUUUCUUACAGAAAAAAUAUGAAUGCUAACUUUGGCCAGUGUUUGUGACUAAGUGGCUACAAAAAAAGACUGGACAUAUCCAUAAUUUUUAUUCCUGGACAACCAUGCGCUCUGAAAGGCAACAUAUAACCAAUCUGGUGAAUUCCAAUGUGUAUAAACUGAAAAAUGUGCUAUAUUUGACCAUGUAACUUUCCAAAACACCAAAAAACCUGUACAUUGGGGGUGCUGUUUUACUCGUGAGAUAUCACUGAAUACAAAGAUGUGUAUUUUAUUGCAGUAACCGCUAACAGUAUUGUGACAUUCACAGUUAAAAUGCCAUGCAGAAC